Long non-coding RNA from Macrobrachium nipponense, 1323 nucleotides. RefSeq lists it as uncharacterized. NCBI's taxonomy places the organism in Eukaryota, Metazoa, Arthropoda, Malacostraca, Decapoda, Palaemonidae. The transcript has 3 exons. The record is from RefSeq and is a predicted model, not a curated record.
UUAUCCUACCAACGGUACAUCAAAUCUUCUUGGACAUGGACCCGAUAGCCAUCACAUCUGAGCAGCAUUUUGGGAUAAUAUUCCUAAUCCUGUUGACGAAAUUCCAGCAUCUUGUAGUGACUGUUAUUCAAGUUAUGGUGAAUUUUGUCAAGUGUAUUCUGGAAAUACAAAAAAAUUAGUGGAUUUGUGCUAGACAAUUUAAUUUUAAGAGAGAAAAUUUGUCUGAAUUGUCAUACGAAGACGAAACUGGUGUUCAUGUAAAGUGUUAUUUGUUGGUACUGGUUUUUUAAAAGUGAAUCUGGACAUUGGAACAAAUAAAAAAUUUAUAUUUCUUUGGAUCCAAAAGGGUUUGGUAUGAUAGGUAUAUCUAGCUACCUAGCCAUUUCGAACUUGAAUGGAAUAAAGCUGGAAACCCGGGAUGUGAUUCAAGACAGGAUUGAGCCCAGUACGAACUCUAUUUUUGAUUGUCGGCUGGCAUAUGACUGUCUGGUAGAGGAAGGCGUUAAACACUUUAUUGAUAACCACAUCGUUAACUUUGUUGAUCCCCAGACAGGCUCAUACCAAUACUUGUGUAGAGGAAGUGGCGGGAUGUCAAGAAUUUAAUGCCUAAAUUUGACAGGGGAAAGGAACACCUCAUUGUAUACCUGGCCACUUCCUACAUCCAGCUGUAUGUCCAAGAACCUGCACAACGGCUCCUUUACGUUUUCCACAAAGCAGCACCACAUCUUUUAUCAACCUACACUGUAAGUGGAUGCUUGCCCAACAUCUGACCUCUUUGCGACCGCUCCAGAAAAUGAUGAAUCGACUUCUUGUCCAACUGGGAUGCCGGUACCUGUCCACUUGACCACAGCUGCAGGGGAGUAUUACUGGAAGUCUUCUUCAGCCUCCCCAACUUGAUAUCCAACCUUAUGAGAGUCACUGAGAUCCAACAUUCAAGUUCAAGUUUGGAGGAGUCAUGAAAGCCUCGCAAUAUGAGUACUGAUAGUUGCCCAUUUAAUAGGACCAUUGCCACCCUUAGCAUGCAAGUUCAAAUUGGGAGGCAUGAAAGCCACUCGGUAUAAACUGUGAUAGCCAUAGAGUUGCUGUAGACUUGUGGGUCGUUCUCUGGAGUGGAGAUUCCUGGAGAACAGUUUGUUAAUCCUCAUUUUUGUGAACUGAAAUUUGUGUAAGACUUUUUUAUCGUUUUUAAAUAAAUCUUUGGUUGUACUCUCCUAUAUAUCAAGAGUACAUUUUGUUGUAAAUCUAGUGUUGUCCUGAAGAAGGUCUUAGGUUAAUGGCUGAAACAGCCUUGGAUUUGGAAAUAAAUAAAUGAGUGAAAUAUAA